GAUGAACGCUGGCGGCGUGCCUAAUACAUGCGAGUCGAGCGAACGGACGAGAAGCUUGCUUCUCUGAUGUUAGCGGCGGACGGGUGAGUAACACGUGGAUAACCUACCUAUAAGACUGGGAUAACUUCGGGAAACCGGAGCUAAUACCGGAUAAUAUUUUGAACCGCAUGGUUCAAAAGUGAAAGACGGUCUUGCUGUCACUUAUAGAUGGAUCCGCGCUGCAUUAGCUAGUUGGUAAGGUAACGGCUUACCAAGGCAACGAUGCAUAGCCGACCUGAGAGGGUGAUCGGCCACACUGGAACUGAGACACGGUCCAGACUCCUACGGGAGGCAGCAGUAGGGAAUCUUCCGCAAUGGGCGAAAGCCUGACGGAGCAACGCCGCGUGAGUGAUGAAGGUCUUCGGAUCGUAAAACUCUGUUAUUAGGGAAGAACAUAUGUGUAAGUAACUGUGCACAUCUUGACGGUACCUAAUCAGAAAGCCACGGCUAACUACGUGCCAGCAGCCGCGGUAAUACGUAGGUGGCAAGCGUUAUCCGGAAUUAUUGGGCGUAAAGCGCGCGUAGGCGGUUUUUUAAGUCUGAUGUGAAAGCCCACGGCUCAACCGUGGAGGGUCAUUGGAAACUGGAAAACUUGAGUGCAGAAGAGGAAAGUGGAAUUCCAUGUGUAGCGGUGAAAUGCGCAGAGAUAUGGAGGAACACCAGUGGCGAAGGCGACUUUCUGGUCUGUAACUGACGCUGAUGUGCGAAAGCGUGGGGAUCAAACAGGAUUAGAUACCCUGGUAGUCCACGCCGUAAACGAUGAGUGCUAAGUGUUAGGGGGUUUCCGCCCCUUAGUGCUGCAGCUAACGCAUUAAGCACUCCGCCUGGGGAGUACGACCGCAAGGUUGAAACUCAAAGGAAUUGACGGGGACCCGCACAAGCGGUGGAGCAUGUGGUUUAAUUCGAAGCAACGCGAAGAACCUUACCAAAUCUUGACAUCCUUUGACAACUCUAGAGAUAGAGCUUUCCCCUUCGGGGGACAAAGUGACAGGUGGUGCAUGGUUGUCGUCAGCUCGUGUCGUGAGAUGUUGGGUUAAGUCCCGCAACGAGCGCAACCCUUAAGCUUAGUUGCCAUCAUUAAGUUGGGCACUCUAAGUUGACUGCCGGUGACAAACCGGAGGAAGGUGGGGAUGACGUCAAAUCAUCAUGCCCCUUAUGAUUUGGGCUACACACGUGCUACAAUGGACAAUACAAAGGGCAGCGAAACCGUGAGGUCAAGCAAAUCCCAUAAAGUUGUUCUCAGUUCGGAUUGUAGUCUGCAACCCGACUACAUGAAGCUGGAAUCGCUAGUAAUCGUAGAUCAGCAUGCUACGGUGAAUACGUUCCCGGGUCU
RNAcentral lists this ribosomal RNA (1372 nucleotides) under uncultured bacterium. RNAcentral's name for it is "bacterial SSU rRNA". It matches the Rfam family "Bacterial small subunit ribosomal RNA", at positions 28 to 1381 of the family's 1533-position model. The record is from RNAcentral.